AGACCCGUGGCGUAUAGCUCAGUAACACGUGGCCAAACUACCCUAUAGACCAUGAUAACCUCGGGAAACUGAGGCUAAUCGUGGAUAUCGCAUUCAUGCUUGAAUUGCCGAAUGCGAGAAACGUUCCGGCGCUAUAGGAUGUGGCUGCGGCCGAUUAGGUAGACGGUGGGGUAACGGCCCACCGUGCCAGUAAUCGGUACG
Molecule: ribosomal RNA, 201 nt
Filed under: Halomicrobium mukohataei
Lineage: Archaea; Methanobacteriati; Methanobacteriota; Halobacteria; Halobacteriales; Haloarculaceae
Description: partial 16S ribosomal RNA
Rfam family: Archaeal small subunit ribosomal RNA
Source: RNAcentral